This 73-nucleotide transfer RNA is filed under the name Ailuropoda melanoleuca (giant panda). It matches the Rfam family "tRNA". Rfam says of the family: Transfer RNA (tRNA) molecules are approximately 80 nucleotides in length. Their secondary structure includes four short double-helical elements and three loops (D, anti-codon, and T loops). Further hydrogen bonds mediate the characteristic L-shaped molecular structure. tRNAs have two regions of fundamental functional importance: the anti-codon, which is responsible for specific mRNA codon recognition, and the 3' end, to which the tRNAs corresponding amino acid is attached (by aminoacyl-tRNA synthetases). tRNAs cope with the degeneracy of the genetic code in two manners: having more than one tRNA (with a specific anti-codon) for a particular amino acid; and 'wobble' base-pairing, i.e. permitting non-standard base-pairing at the 3rd anti-codon position. Lineage: Eukaryota; Metazoa; Chordata; Mammalia; Carnivora; Ursidae. The record is from Rfam by way of RNAcentral.
ACCUGGCUUGCUCAGUGGUUAGAGCGUGUGACUCUUGAUCUCAGGGUUGUGAGUUCGAGCUCCAUGCUGGGUG